ACGAACGCUGGCGGCGUGCUUAACACAUGCAAGUCGAACGGAAAGGCCCCCUUGUGGGGUACUCGAGUGGCGAACGGGUGAGUAACACGUGAGUAACCUACCCUUGACUUUGGGAUAACUUCAGGAAACUGGGGCUAAUACCGGAUAGGAGCUCCUGCUGCAUGGUGGGGGUUGGAAAGUUUCGGCGGUUGGGGAUGGACUCGCGGCUUAUCAGCUUGUUGGUGGGGUAGUGGCUCACCAAGGCUUUGACGGGUAGCCGGCCUGAGAGGGUGACCGGCCACAUUGGGACUGAGAUACGGCCCAGACUCCUACGGGAGGCAGCAGUGGGGAAUAUUGCACAAUGGGCGGAAGCCUGAUGCAGCAACGCCGCGUGCGGGAUGACGGCCUUCGGGUUGUAAACCGCUUUCGCCUGUGACGAAGCGUGAGUGACGGUAAUGGAUAAAGAAGCACCGGCUAACUACGUG
Molecule: ribosomal RNA, 464 nt
Filed under: uncultured bacterium
Lineage: Bacteria
Description: partial 16S ribosomal RNA
Rfam family: Bacterial small subunit ribosomal RNA
Source: RNAcentral